GCCGGCAGCUAGCUCUCUGCAACUCUCACAUGGUCACCCACUGAAGCUAAGCAGGGCUGCGCCUGAUUAGUACCUGGAUGGGUGACCACAUGGGAAAGCUAGGUUGCUGCCGGAA
Molecule: non-coding RNA, 115 nt
Organism: Danio rerio (zebrafish)
Lineage: Eukaryota; Metazoa; Chordata; Actinopteri; Cypriniformes; Danionidae
Source: Rfam